AGAGGGGCAGCUGCCGACAGCCAGGUGCACACGCUGCAGGAGGAGCUGGACGAGCUGAAGGGAGGGGGCUCCCUGCCUUAGCAGCCUGCUGCCCCCCGCCGAGCGCCAGUUGCAGAGCUCCAGCCAGCAGCAGAAGCAGAGCAGUGGGCAGUGGUGGAGGUAGAGCUGGCUCCAGCUUCCUUGACACCACCCUCUCUAGCACUGGAGCCAGUGUCCCCUCCACCAGCAGUGUUGGAGCUGGAGCAAGGGCCGACAUCGGCUGCAGCAGGAGUGGGAGCUGCUGAGCUGGAGUCACCUGGACCAUCAUUUCUAGUGGGAAGUCCAUCUCCACCUGUGGCUAAGAAGCAUGAGAAGAAGCCCAACCUACGGCCUUCCCUCCUAAGCUGGUGGUGGAGCAGUUGACCGUGAUGGAUGCGGAGUGUGAGAUCCUGAAGAACUUCUCCUCGCCCCGCACUGUCAUCUCUUCUCUGCAGAAAACAUCCAUAUGCCACCUGAAGAACACAUGGAGGAAGUUUCCUGGUGGGUAGUGCCCCUCUCCA
Long non-coding RNA from Diceros bicornis minor, 539 nucleotides. RefSeq lists it as uncharacterized. The transcript is spliced from 3 exons. Lineage: Eukaryota; Metazoa; Chordata; Mammalia; Perissodactyla; Rhinocerotidae. The record is from RefSeq and is a predicted model, not a curated record.